GACGAACGCUGGCGGCAGGCCUAACACAUGCAAGUCGAGCGUGAAGCUAUCUUCGGAUAGUGGAAAGCGGCGGACGGGUGAGUAACGCGUGGGAACGUGCCCUGUAGUAAGGAAUAGCCUCGGGAAACUGGGAUUAAUACCUUAUACCUCCUCCGGGAGAAAGAUUUAUCGCUACAGGAUCGGCCCGCGUUAGAUUAGAUUGUUGGUGAGGUAACGGCUCACCAAGUCUACGAUCUAUAGCUGGUCUGAGAGGAUGAUCAGCCACACUGGAACUGAGACACGGUCCAGACUCCUACGGGAGGCAGCAGUGGGGAAUAUUGGGCAAUGGAGGCAACUCUGACCCAGCCAUGCCGCGUGAGUGAAGAAGGCCCUAGGGUUGUAAAGCUCUUUCAGUUGCGAAGAUGAUGACUGUAACAACAGAAGAAGGUCCGGCUAACUUCG
RNAcentral lists this ribosomal RNA (441 nucleotides) under uncultured Alphaproteobacteria bacterium. RNAcentral's name for it is "bacterial SSU rRNA". It matches the Rfam family "Bacterial small subunit ribosomal RNA", at positions 28 to 505 of the family's 1533-position model. Lineage: Bacteria; Pseudomonadati; Pseudomonadota; Alphaproteobacteria. The record is from RNAcentral.